RNAcentral lists this transfer RNA (76 nucleotides) under Gemmatimonadota bacterium. Its description in RNAcentral is "Gemmatimonadetes bacterium tRNA-Thr". It matches the Rfam family "tRNA". From Rfam's summary of the family: Transfer RNA (tRNA) molecules are approximately 80 nucleotides in length. Lineage: Bacteria; Pseudomonadati; Gemmatimonadota. The record is from RNAcentral.
GCCACCCUAGCUCAGCUGGUAGAGCAACGCACUCGUAAUGCGUAGGUCGGCGGUUCGAUCCCGCUGGGUGGCCCCA